UUAUUGGAGAGUUUGAUCCUGGCUCAGGACGAACGCUGGCGGCGUGCCUAAUACAUGCAAGUCGAGCGAGUCUCUUCGGAGGCUAGCGGCGGACGGGUGAGUAACACGUAGGCAACCUGCCUCUCAGACUGGGAUAACGAAGGGAAACUUAUGCUAAUACCGGAUAGGUUUUUGGAUCGCAUGAUCCGAAAAGAAAAGAUGGC
This 203-nucleotide ribosomal RNA is filed under the name Brevibacillus sp. Leaf182. RNAcentral describes it as "partial 16S ribosomal RNA". It matches the Rfam family "Bacterial small subunit ribosomal RNA", at positions 1 to 212 of the family's 1533-position model. The record is from RNAcentral. Lineage: Bacteria; Bacillati; Bacillota; Bacilli; Caryophanales; Paenibacillaceae.